GCGAACGGACGAGAAGCUGCUUCUCUGAUGUUAGCGGCGGACGGGUGAGUAACACGUGGAUAACCUACCUAUAAGACUGGGAUAACUUCGGGAAACCGGAGCUAAUACCGGAUAAUAUUUUGAACCGCAUGGUUCAAAAGUGAAAGACGGUCUUGCUGUCACUUAUAGAUGGAUCCGCGCUGCAUCAGCUAGUUGGUAAGGUAACGGCUUACCAAGGCAACGAUGCAUAGCCGACCUGAGAGGGUGAUCAGCCACACUGGAACUGAGACACGGUCCAGACUCCUACGGGAGGCAGCAGUAGGGAAUCUUCCGCAAUGGGCGAAAGCCUGACGGAGCAACGCCGCGUGAGUGAUGAAGGUCUUCGGAUCGUAAAACUCUGUUAUUAGGGAAGAACAUAUGCGUAAGUAACUGUGCACAUCUUGACGGUACCUAAUCAGAAAGCCACGGCUAACUACGUGCCAGCAGCCGCGGUAAUACGUAGGUGGCAAGCGUUAUCCGGAAUUAUUGGGCGUAAAGCGCGCGUAGGCGGUUUUUUAAGUCUGAUGUGAAAGCCCACGGCUCAACCGUGGAGGGUCAUUGGAAACUGGAAAACUUGAG
Molecule: ribosomal RNA, 597 nt
Filed under: uncultured Staphylococcus sp.
Lineage: Bacteria; Bacillati; Bacillota; Bacilli; Caryophanales; Staphylococcaceae
Description: bacterial SSU rRNA
Rfam family: Bacterial small subunit ribosomal RNA
Source: RNAcentral